CACAGAACACACCCUCUCUUUCAAAAACUCUCCCUCUCUGGCUUUCUCCCUCUUUCGAUCUCUUUCUUACACACACACACACACACACACACACACACACACACACACACACACACACACACACACACACACACACACACACACACACACACACACACACACACACACACACACACACACACACAUACACUCUUUCUCUCUCUUUAACUAUCCAUAUCUCGCUUUCUCACAUUACCAAUAGGAAAAAAUUUUUUUUUUAUCCAACCAUAUUAAUCAUGACCAAAUAUUUAGGAACAGGUUGUCAUUUCAUGGAGUCUGUGAAGGACGAAACCACAGGGAAAAAAUGAAAGAGAUGUCCAUAACAUUGAAGGAUGAUGGGGAAAGAGAUGUCCAUAACAUUGAAGGAUGAUGGGGAAAGAGAUGUCCAUAACAUGGAAGGAGGGUGGGGAAAGAGAUGUCCAUAACAUGGACGAAUGAUGGGGAAAGAGAUGUCCAUAACAUGGAAGGAUGAUGGGGAAAGAGAUGUCCAUAACAUGGACGGAUGAUGGGGAAAGAGAUGUCCAUAACAUGGAAGGAUGAUGGGGAAAGAGAUGUCCAUAACAUGGACGGAUGAUGGGGAAAGAGAUGUCCAUAACAUGGACAGAUGAUGGGGAAAGAGAUGUCUGUAACAUGGACGGAUGAUGGGGAAAGAGAUGUCCAUAACAUGGAAGGAGGGUGGGGAAAGAGAUGUCUGUAACAUGGACGGAUGAUGGGGAAAGAGAUGUCCAUAAUAUGGACAGAUGAUGGGGAAAGAGAUGUCUGUAACAUGGAAGGAUGAUGGGGAAAGAGAUGUCCGUAACAUGGAAGGAUGAUGGGGAAAGAGAUGUUUGUAACAUGGAAGGAUGAUGGGGAAAGAGAUGUCUGUAACAUGGAAGGAUGAUGGUGAAAGAGAUGUCCAUAAUAUGUAAGGAGGGUGGGGAAAGAGAUGUCCAUAACAUUGACGAAUGAUGGGGAAUGAGAUGUCUGUAACAUGGAAGGAGGAUGUGGAAAUUAUCGUUAAUCCUGUGGGGAAUUUCCAAACAUGCUUCAUAUUGACUGAAGUUUCCUGUAUGUGGUUACUUGUGGCUACACUGUGCGUCUGUGUGUGUUCGUGCCAGAUGACAAGUGAAACACUUCCACCACAGUGAGCAUCACUAAAGGCUGACGGGUCGGGACCAUGUAGAGCAGCACUAAUAGAGAGAUACAAGUGGUAGUGGAUAAGGAUCAGCCACCACAGGUCUGUCUGGCAAGAACUAAUCAGAUGUCUUCAGAACAGGUUUAUUGCAGAUAUCGGGUUCAACACGCCACACUCCUAAAAGUUGUUCAAUGGAAAGAUACAAGAAAAUAAUAAGCAUAAAUAGGGGCUUCCAGACAACGUACGGAGCACAGCCAAAUACACACAGCUAGUAGUACACACUGACAGAACAAAGGCCCAGUUACUGGUAAGCAUAUAUACAAUUGAAACAUGACUGCCAUGUAACUAAGGUCUGCGCAUGUGCACAAGACCACGACCAACGUGGAAUAGCAACUGCACCACAAGCGAAGGCACAGGCUAAUUAGGCUACAUACAUACAUCAUAAGGCUAUACACAGUACAUGGUAGCAUGAGGCUACAUAAAGACUGUAAAUGUACAUAAACACAGCUCUACGCAUGAACAGACAACAUAAACAGAAUAUAUUUCCCUUGAAACGGUACAUGUGAGCUUCAUCACCAAGCCUAAUGAGCUAGCGUUAGUGGCUCACAUUCUGGCUUAGCUGGCUAGCAGUAACAUGACACACAUGACAGGAAAAUACCUGAAACAUAUGGUGAAUAUCAACUUGACCGCCUUAGCAACAUCUUGAUAACAAACAUGGUCAUCUCCCAUCUAUUUCUGAUGUCCUUCCAGCUGGAUUUCUAUUUGCCACAUAUAUUUUAACUGCUGUUUCACAGAGGUUCUGAACCUAUAUACUUUUUACGGACACGGUAUAUUUAAAAUUAGUUAUCUUGUUGUUAUUAGUCCCACCCUUCUAUCUUUAACACCAUCCAGUUUUGAUUUCUAUUUGCCAUAUAUUUUUUCAACUGUGCUGUGAUGUUUCACAAAAGUUCUGAACAUUUCUAUUCUCAUAGUUUCUACAGAUUGUAAAUUAAAGAUAAACAUUGUUGCUAAAAUAA
RNAcentral lists this long non-coding RNA (2169 nucleotides) under Salmo salar (Atlantic salmon). Its description in RNAcentral is "lncRNA (ENSSSAG00000097961.1)". Lineage: Eukaryota; Metazoa; Chordata; Actinopteri; Salmoniformes; Salmonidae. The record is from RNAcentral.